This 468-nucleotide ribosomal RNA is filed under the name uncultured bacterium. RNAcentral's name for it is "partial 16S ribosomal RNA". It matches the Rfam family "Bacterial small subunit ribosomal RNA", at positions 28 to 507 of the family's 1533-position model. The record is from RNAcentral.
GACGAACGCUGGCGGCGUGCUUAACACAUGCAAGUCGAACGGAAAGGCCCUGCUUUUGUGGGGUGCUCGAGUGGCGAACGGGUGAGUAACACGUGAGUAACCUGCCCUUGACUUUGGGAUAACUUCAGGAAACUGGGGCUAAUACCGGAAAGGAGCUCCUGCUGCAUGGGGGGGGUGGGAAAGUUUCGGCGGUUGGGGAUGGACUCGCGGCUUAUCAGCUUGUUGGUGGGGUAGUGGCUUACCAAGGCUUUGACGGGUAGCCGGCCUGAGAGGGUGACCGGCCACAUUGGGACUGAGAUACGGCCCAGACUCCUACGGGAGGCAGCAGUGGGGAAUAUUGCACAAUGGGCGGAAGCCUGAUGCAGGAACGCCGCGUGCGGGAUGACGGCCUUCGGGUUGUAAACCGCUUUCGCCUGUGACGAAGCGUGAGUGACGGUAAUGGGUAAAGAAGCACCGGCUAACUACGUG